RNAcentral lists this ribosomal RNA (542 nucleotides) under Trichonephila clavata. RNAcentral describes it as "bacterial SSU rRNA". It matches the Rfam family "Eukaryotic small subunit ribosomal RNA", at positions 537 to 1067 of the family's 1831-position model. Lineage: Eukaryota; Metazoa; Arthropoda; Arachnida; Araneae; Nephilidae. The record is from RNAcentral.
ACGAGGACCUACCGGAGGGCAAGACUAAUGCCAGCCGCUGCGGUAAUUUUAGCUCCGGUAGCGUAUACUAAAAUUGUUGCAGUUAAAAAGCUCGUAGUCGGACCUCUGCUCCGGACGCCGGGGGCCGCUCGCGCGGUCUCCCGCUGCGCUUCCGGGCAUUCUGCCCGCCACCUCGCGGGGUGAUUUUAAAAGGUCGUCCCCGGGUGGAAGGCGGUGAUCGCUUUGCAAAAAUUAGAGUGCUCAGAGCAGGCCCUGCCGCCUGGAUAGUAAUGCACGGAACGAUGGAAGACGCCCUCGGUCCCGGGUUUCCGUGGGAACAGGUCGACGGAGACCGAGGGAAUGAUCGAUAGGAGCAGACGGGGGCAUCCGUAUUCCGACGCUAGAGGUGAAAUUCUUGGACCGUCGGAAGACGACCCACUGCGAAGGCAUUUGCCAAGAAUGCUUCCAUUGACCAAGAACGAAAGUCAGAGGCUCAAAGAAGAUUAGAUACCUUUGUAGUUCUGACCGUAAACGAUACCCUCCAGCGAUCCGGCUGCGUACGA